This 492-nucleotide ribosomal RNA is filed under the name uncultured bacterium. Its description in RNAcentral is "partial 16S ribosomal RNA". It matches the Rfam family "Bacterial small subunit ribosomal RNA", at positions 30 to 507 of the family's 1533-position model. The record is from RNAcentral.
AGUGAACGCUGGCGGUAGGCCUAACACAUGCAAGUCGAACGGCAGCACAGUAAGAGCUUGCUCUUACGGGUGGCGAGUGGCGGACGGGUGAGGAAUACAUCGGAAUCUACUUUUUCGUGGGGGAUAACGUAGGGAAACUUACGCUAAUACCGCAUACGACCUACGGGUGAAAGCAGGGGAUCUUCGGACCUUGCGCGAUUGAAUGAGCCGAUGUCGGAUUAGCUAGUUGGCGGGGUAAAGGCCCACCAAGGCGACGAUCCGUAGCUGGUCUGAGAGGAUGAGGAGCCAAAGUGGGAGGAAGACACGGCCAGGGCUCCAACGGGGGGCAGAAGAGGGGAAUGUUGGGAAAUGGGCGGAAGCCUGAUACAGCCAUACCGCGUGGAUGAAGAAGGCGUUCGGGUUGAAAAGCCCUUUUGUAGGGAAAGAAAAGCAGCAGGAUAGUACCCCGCUGUGCUGACGGUACCCAAAGAAUAAGCAACGGCUAACUUCGUG